GACGAACGCUGGCGGUGUGCUUAACACAUGCAAGUCGAACGGUAAGGCCCUUUCGGGGGUACACGAGUGGCGAACGGGUGAGUAACCCGUGAGUAACCUGCCCUCAUCUCUGGGAUAACAGUCGGAAACGGUUGCUAAUACUGGAUAUGAGCUUGCAAGGCAUCUUGUGGGUUGGAAAGAUUUUUUUUGGUUGGGGAUGGACUCGCGGCCUAUCAGCUUGUUGGUGAGGUAGUGGCUCACCAAGGCUUCGACGGGUAGCCGGCCUGAGAGGGCGACCGGCCACAUUGGGACUGAGAUACGGCCCAACCUCCUACGGGAGGCAGCAGUGGGGAAUAUUGCACAAUGGACGGAAGUCUGAUGCAGCAACGCCGCGUGCGGGAUGACGGCCUUCGGGUUGUAAACCGCUUUCAAUUGUGACGAAGCUUUUUUGUGACGGUAGCAGUAGAAGAAGCACCGGCUAACUACGU
This 467-nucleotide ribosomal RNA is filed under the name uncultured bacterium. Its description in RNAcentral is "partial 16S ribosomal RNA". It matches the Rfam family "Bacterial small subunit ribosomal RNA", at positions 28 to 506 of the family's 1533-position model. The record is from RNAcentral.